UUGGACGAUCAUGCUCUCACAGCUCCCACUUACCUGAGCGUAGGUGCGACGUUGCAUAAUUUAAAUCUAGCGACAUAUGUGGCUAAUUCACAUAUGAAGGCUACCUCCACCAUUAGACCACAGGGUAGCAUAGUGCGGUCAUCACACAUCCAUACCUGAGUACUGCCGGAGAUGCAUAAUUAAAACCCCCCAAGUCAGUACUUAAAUAGCCACCUAGAGUCCUUAUGUGGGCAAGGAGGAUUCGACCACUGGCAUAACUUGAUUACUUAUUAUACACCAUUUUAUUUAAAAACUCUUUUGUUUUAAAUACACAAACGCUGCAUUUAUAAUGCUGAACUUGCUCCGAUGCCAGCUGUCACAGAACCGACCAAAUUAUAAGAGUUCAAGUGCAGAAACAAUCG
RNAcentral lists this long non-coding RNA (401 nucleotides) under Sorghum bicolor (sorghum). RNAcentral describes it as "long non-coding RNA (SBIC_LNC013987)". Lineage: Eukaryota; Viridiplantae; Streptophyta; Magnoliopsida; Poales; Poaceae. The record is from RNAcentral.